Molecule: long non-coding RNA, 657 nt
Organism: Dreissena polymorpha
Lineage: Eukaryota; Metazoa; Mollusca; Bivalvia; Myida; Dreissenidae
Exons: 2
Source: RefSeq, a predicted model, not a curated record
GUGUGCAUGGCUUUUUAUGCCCCCCUUCGAAGAAGCGGGGGUAUAUUGCUUUGCUCAUGUCGGUAAUUCGGUCGGUCUGUCGGUCGGUCCGUCCACCAGGUGGUUGUCAGACGAUAACUCAAGAAGGACUGGGCAUGAAACUUCAUAGGUACAUUGAUCUUGACUUGCAGAUGACCCCUAUUGAUUUUGAGGUCACUAGGUCAAAGGUCAAGGUCAUGGUGACCCGAAAUAGUAAAAUGGUUUUUGAAUGAUAACUCAAGAACGCAUACGCCUAGGAUCAUGACACUUCAUGGGUAGAUUGAUCAUGACUUGCAGAUGACCCCUAUUGAUUUUGAGGUCACUAGGUCAAAGGUAAGGUCACGGUGACCUGAAAUAGUAAAAUGGUUUCCGGAUGAUAACUCAAGAAUGCAUACGCCUAGGAUCAUGAAACUUCAUGGGUAGAUUGAUCAUAACUCGCAGAUGACCCCUAUUGAUUUUAAGGUCACUAGGUCAAAGGUCAAGGUCACGGUGACCAGAAAUAGUAAAAUGGUUUUUGGAUGAUAACUCAAGAACGCAUACGCCUAGGAUCAUAAAACUUCAUAGGUACAUUGAUCAUGACUGGCAGAUGACCCCUAUUGAUUUUCAGGUCACUAGGUCAAAGGUCAAGGUCACAGUGAC